Molecule: ribosomal RNA, 684 nt
Filed under: Cyclosa japonica
Lineage: Eukaryota; Metazoa; Arthropoda; Arachnida; Araneae; Araneidae
Description: 12S ribosomal RNA
Source: RNAcentral
UAUGCUUAGUACAGCUUUCUAGUACAUUUGCUAAAAUGAAGUUCGUUUAAUUCCAGAAAUUUUUAAUUUACACACUUAUUUUAUAUAAAUAAAGUUAUUAGCAAAUUUAUUAACUAAUAUAGUGCCAGCAGUUGCGGUUAAACUAUUAAUAAAUUGUACUUUAUUUAUUUUUCUUGAAAAUUUUAUUAAAAAUUUAAAUAUUAAGUAAAAUUUUAUCAUUAGUUUUUAAAAAUUAUUUUUAGAAAUAAAAUUUUAAAUUUAAAAUAGGAUUAGAUACCCUCUUAUAUUAUUAUGUACUAAGGUAGUAAAUUUAAACCUAUGUAGUUUGGCGGCAUUUAGUCAUUUUAGAGGAAUCUGUCUUUUAAUCGAUACCCCACGAUAAAUUUUACUUUUAUUCAUAUCUUAUAUACCGCCAUCAUAAGGACUAAUAAUAUAUAUUUUAUUCUUAAUAGAAAUCUAACAAGUUAGGUAAAGGUGUAGACUAUAAAAAAGUUAAGAUGGAUUACGUUAAGUUAUUACUUAAGGAUGUUUAAGUAAAUUAUUUAAGGAAAAAGGAUUUAUAAGUAAUUUAAUUAAUAGUAUUUUUUAAUGAAACUGAUAAAAAAUGUGCACAUAUCGCCCGUCACCCUUAUCCAAAGGUAAGGUAAGUCGUAACAUAGUUGGUGUUUUGGAAAAAGCAUCAGG